This 253-nucleotide ribosomal RNA is filed under the name uncultured bacterium. RNAcentral describes it as "partial 16S ribosomal RNA". It matches the Rfam family "Bacterial small subunit ribosomal RNA", at positions 524 to 776 of the family's 1533-position model. The record is from RNAcentral.
UACGGUGGGUGCAAGCGUUGUUCGGAAUUACUGGGCGUAAAGGGCUCGUAGGUGGCCAACUAAGUCAGACGUGAAAUCCCCAGGCUCAACCUGGGAACUGCGUCUGAUACUGGAUGGCUUGAAUUCGGGAGAGGGAUGCAGAAUUCCAGGUGUAGCGGUGAAAUGCGUAGAUAUCUGGAGGAAUACCGGUGGCGAAGGCGGCAUCCUGGACCGAUAUUGACACUGAUGAGCGAAAGCCAGGGGAGCAAACGGG